RNAcentral lists this non-coding RNA (24 nucleotides) under Arabidopsis thaliana (thale cress). Lineage: Eukaryota; Viridiplantae; Streptophyta; Magnoliopsida; Brassicales; Brassicaceae. The record is from RNAcentral.
ACACUGGUACCGAGUCAACCGCCU